UACGUAGGGUGCAAGCGUUAAUCGGAAUUACUGGGCGUAAAGGGUGCGCAGGCGGUUCUGUAAGUCAGAUGUGAAAUCCCCGGGCUUAACCUGGGAACUGCGUUUGAAACUGCAGAGCUAGAGUGCGGCAGAGGGAGGUGGAAUUCCAUGUGUAGCAGUGAAAUGCGUAGAGAUAUGGAAGAACAUCGAUGGCGAAGGCAACCUCCUGGGCUAGCACUGACGCUCAUGCACGAAAGCGUGGGGAGCAAACAGG
This 253-nucleotide ribosomal RNA is filed under the name uncultured bacterium. RNAcentral's name for it is "partial 16S ribosomal RNA". It matches the Rfam family "Bacterial small subunit ribosomal RNA", at positions 524 to 776 of the family's 1533-position model. The record is from RNAcentral.